GACAGCCGCCGGAGUUCCGCGAUGUACUCCGAUGUGGACUCAUUCUUUAGUUGAUUUCGUUUAUGAAAUCGGAAACGUUCGGCUAUAACCAGUGGCUUCGGUUGGAAAUGUUUUUGGAGCACUUCUGUGAUCUCCUUGAAACUUUUGUCAGCUGGUUUGAUCGGUGUGAUGAGGCUGCGCAACAAAUGCAUAUCCCAGUUCAGCCCAAACUUUAGCUGUCAGCCUCACGUUUGACUACAGUCAUGGUGCCCAGGUCCUAUUGCUACAAAUCAUUCCUAAAUCAUGAUCCCGCCUCACUGUGUUUCAUGAAGGGAACUAUCAGUGUCUGUCAUCUGUGGCUCAGCACUGUCAGCCCUACAGGACCACAGCCACAUAUGGAGGCAUCCAUCUCUGCAUCUCGGCCUUGCCUUCUGUUCUCCAUGCUGUGGAACAUGGCGCUCCCUCUGGCUGCAGGCGUUUUCACAUGGUGGCAAAAAUUGUCAAUUGUGGAGUUUUUAAAAAAAGGGAAAAAAAGCUGAGGACAGAAAUUGUUUAGGAUGUGGUCUAAAAUGCCGCAAUUCAGACGUGUGUAAGGAGUGUGUGUGUAAACAUGUCUAGUUUUGAUCUUGUUUGAAAGGUGUGGAUUAUUUAUAUAUACGUCUUUGCAUAUUACUUUGGAAGAAAUAGCAGUUUUAUCUUUCCUUUUUUUUGCACUAUAUUUAAAUAGUUUAACAGUUGCUACACUAAUUGGCAAUUAC
Molecule: long non-coding RNA, 737 nt
Organism: Astatotilapia calliptera (eastern happy)
Lineage: Eukaryota; Metazoa; Chordata; Actinopteri; Cichliformes; Cichlidae
Source: Ensembl